CUUUAAUUGUCGUGCUGUACAUUGUGCCAUGGGCGUCUUGGUAGGUCCGUCGCAGAUCGAGAUGGAGAUCGGAUUGGAGAGUGGAGUCGAGGAAGCUGGACCAUCGAGCAUCAGAAAUGCUUGCAAUUGAACUUCAAAUCCGAUUUGGCGGCUGCCUGUGUCAAUGAUAUGGGAGAGCUGACCGCACGCCGGACGCGAACGUGAUCAUCAUCGUUCAGUAGACUCUGCGAACUCCGCUGGCCUUGCUGCAUUGUUGGUUUGACAAAUUUGUAGCAACUAGCAGCUAGCAGUCGAGUUUUCCACUUUGCUUGUGACCACCGGAUGCGGCUAUCAUUCGAAUUACUUCUGUGGUCGUUUGGGACACAGAUGUUUACCUUUCGUUUUAGCACUUUUCACGUUGAACUUGUACGUAUACGCAAUAAUUUCCAUAUGACUCGCCCGUUAUCAAUUAUGAGCGCUAAUCUGCUUUACUUUCGAUUUCAAUUCGCAGCACGACGAACAAAGUUUUAAUAAACGUGUGAAUCUGCCCCCACGGGCAGCCUUUAUUUGCUCAGUCGUAAAGCUCUUCACUGGAACCAAAAACCGGGGACCUUGUCAAAUAAUCAGCUCUACGAGAGGAGAACUGCCUGAGUAACGACUCCGACUAUUGGCAUGAAUUAUGUGGAAUUGCACCAAUUUGGCAAUUAAACAUGUGUAGUGCCCGAGUGGGUGGAAAGCAGGGGGUUUUUAAGCCAAACAGAGACAGGGAGAGAGAGAGAGAGAGAGAGACAGAGAAGAUUCAGUGAGCAUAAAUGGCAGAUACAAAUGUUUGUAGCCGCUAUAGAGGCUCACCGACCUUCAAUGGAAUCACAGCCCGAGAUGAUGAUGAUGACACACCUAUGUACAUACGUAUUUUGGUGUGUAAAUUCUGCUGUGGGUCCCACACCUUCUCACUGUUCUUUUUGCCAUGACUGGAGUGAACCCCUUUGACAUCGCGGCUAAUUGCACAAACGAGCAGAUCAGGGCAGCUGAGAAUCGAAUUCCAAGUUCGUGAUAUGUAAGAAUUAUAAGUCAAAGAAUGUCGAUCACGGGUACCCAGAACUCCCACACCGACUUCAAAUUAAUUUUUGGCGGCUCCACAAUGAAUUAU
Molecule: non-coding RNA, 1129 nt
Organism: Drosophila melanogaster (fruit fly)
Lineage: Eukaryota; Metazoa; Arthropoda; Insecta; Diptera; Drosophilidae
Source: Ensembl